AGAACCACCUGGCAGGGGAGAUACUAUGAUAAACAGGUUUUUCCAGAGUGAAGCCUGUCCAUUGCACUCUGGGUAGGCUGACCCCUGUUCGUUUCCCAAAUGUGAGAAACUUGACUACACAAUUUUGUGGUAAUGGGGGACUGCAUUUGUGCUUUCCCUCU
Alligator mississippiensis (American alligator) is the source of this 161-nucleotide small nuclear RNA. It matches the Rfam family "U1 spliceosomal RNA". Rfam says of the family: U1 is a small nuclear RNA (snRNA) component of the spliceosome (involved in pre-mRNA splicing). Its 5' end forms complementary base pairs with the 5' splice junction, thus defining the 5' donor site of an intron. NCBI's taxonomy places the organism in Eukaryota, Metazoa, Chordata, Crocodylia, Alligatoridae. The record is from Rfam.